UAGCCGUAAACGAUACUCGCUAGGUGUCGGCCACGGUGCGACCGUUGUCGGUGCCGUAGGGAAGCCGUGAAGCGAGCCACCUGGGAAGUACGGUCGCAAGGCUGAAACUUAAAGGAAUUGGCGGGGGAGCACCACAACGGGCGGAGCUUGCGGUUUAAUUGGACUCAACGCCGGGAAGCUCACCGGAUAAGACAGCGGAAUGAUUGCCGGGCUGAAGACCCUGCAUGACCAGCUGAGAGGAGGUGCAUGGCGUAGUCGUGU
Molecule: ribosomal RNA, 261 nt
Filed under: uncultured archaeon
Lineage: Archaea
Description: partial 16S ribosomal RNA
Rfam family: Archaeal small subunit ribosomal RNA
Source: RNAcentral